Molecule: ribosomal RNA, 148 nt
Filed under: Pseudomonas indica
Lineage: Bacteria; Pseudomonadati; Pseudomonadota; Gammaproteobacteria; Pseudomonadales; Pseudomonadaceae
Description: partial 16S ribosomal RNA
Rfam family: Bacterial small subunit ribosomal RNA
Source: RNAcentral
UCCUACGGGAGGCAGCAGUGGGGAAUAUUGGACAAUCAGGAAAGGGGAAUCCAGCCAUGCGGCGUGUGUGAAAAAGGUCUUUGGAUUUAAAGCACUUUAAGUGGGAGGAAGGGCAGUAAAUUAAACUUGGUUUUGACGUACCGACAGA